Molecule: transfer RNA, 74 nt
Filed under: Thermoplasmata archaeon
Lineage: Archaea; Methanobacteriati; Thermoplasmatota; Thermoplasmata
Also listed under: 3 other names
Description: tRNA-Asn
Rfam family: tRNA
About the family: Transfer RNA (tRNA) molecules are approximately 80 nucleotides in length. Their secondary structure includes four short double-helical elements and three loops (D, anti-codon, and T loops).
Source: RNAcentral
GCCGGCGUAGCUUAGUCUGGUGGAGCACCCGGCUGUUAACCGGGCGGUCACCGGUUCAAAUCCGGUCGCCGGCG